This 386-nucleotide ribosomal RNA is filed under the name Syconycteris australis (southern blossom bat). RNAcentral's name for it is "partial 12S ribosomal RNA". It matches the Rfam family "Bacterial small subunit ribosomal RNA", at positions 794 to 1382 of the family's 1533-position model. The record is from RNAcentral. Lineage: Eukaryota; Metazoa; Chordata; Mammalia; Chiroptera; Pteropodidae.
GCUUAGCCCUAAACCUAAAUAGCUUACAACAAUGCUAUUCGCCAGAGUACUACUAGCAACAGCUUAAAACUCAAAGGACUUGGCGGUGCUUUAUAUCCAUCUAGAGGAGCCUGUUCUAUAAUCGAUAAACCCCGAUAAACCUCACCAACCCUUGCUAAUACAGCCUAUAUACCGCCAUCUUCAGCAAACCCUCAAAAGGGACCAUAGUAAGCAAAAUUAUGGAACAUAAAAACGUUAGGUCAAGGUGUAGCCUAUGAGUUGGGAAGAAAUGGGCUACAUUUUCUAACAUAGAAUAUAAACGAAAAUUUUCGUGAAACCGAAAAUAGAAGGAGGAUUUAGUAGUAAAUUAAGAAUAGAGAGCUUAAUUGAAUAAGGCCAUGAAGCAC